Molecule: ribosomal RNA, 435 nt
Filed under: uncultured bacterium
Lineage: Bacteria
Description: partial 16S ribosomal RNA
Rfam family: Bacterial small subunit ribosomal RNA
Source: RNAcentral
GAUGAACGCUGGCGGUAUGCUUAACACAUGCAAGUCGAACGGACUCUUCGGAGUUAGUGGCGGACGGGUGAGUAACGCGUGAGAAUCUGGCUUUGGGUUCGGGACAACCACUGGAAACGGUGGCUAAUACCGGAUGUGCCGAGAGGUAAAAGAGAAAUUGCCUGAAGAUGAGCUCGGGUCUGAUUAGCUAGUUGGUGAGGUAAAGGCUCACCAAGGCAGCGAUCAGUAGCUGGUCUGAGAGGAAGACCAGCCACACUGGGACUGAGACACGGCCCAGACCUCUGGGGGAGGCAGCAGGGGGAAAUUUUCCGAAAGGGGCGAGAGCCUGACAGAGCAAUACCGCGUGAGAGAAGAAGGCUCUUGGGGUGUAAACCUCUUUUCUGAGGGAAGAACAAAAUGACGGUACCUAAGGAAUAAGCAUCGGCUAACUACGUG